RNAcentral lists this ribosomal RNA (501 nucleotides) under uncultured bacterium. RNAcentral describes it as "partial 16S ribosomal RNA". It matches the Rfam family "Bacterial small subunit ribosomal RNA", at positions 28 to 507 of the family's 1533-position model. The record is from RNAcentral.
GACGAACGCUGGCGGCGUGCUUAACACAUGCAAGUCGAACGGGCCUGUCUUCUUUUUUGGGGGGUGGGUUGAGUGGCGAACGGGUGAGUAUCACGUGAGUAACCUGCCCUUCGGUCCUGGAUAACCGCUUGAAAGGGCGGCUAAUACGGGGUGGUCCGGUUGGUCCGCAUGGGCUGGUCGGGAUAGAUUCACUGUUUUUGGUGUUUCGGCGGGGGAUGGGCUCGCGGCCUAUCAGCUUGUUGGUGGGGUGAUGGCCUACCAAGGCGGUGACGGGUAGCCGGCGAGGGAGGGUGGUCGGCCAGGAUGGGACUGAGGUACGGCCCAGACACGGGAGGGAGGCAGCGGUGGGGGGGUACUGCACAAUGGGCGGAGGCCUGAUGCAGCGACGUGGCGGGAGAGGGGGUUGCCUUCGGGUUGUGAUCCUCUGUGUGCGGUAGUGAAGGCCCUGUACGUGUGGUGGGGUUGACGGUAGCCGGGGAUGAAGCGCCGGCUAACUACGUG